GGGCAUAUAGUUCAGUGGUGUGGCGCCUGCCUGGCAAGCCCGAGGUUCUGAGUUCAAUUCUCAGUACCCA
RNAcentral lists this transfer RNA (70 nucleotides) under Cavia porcellus (domestic guinea pig). It matches the Rfam family "tRNA". From Rfam's summary of the family: Transfer RNA (tRNA) molecules are approximately 80 nucleotides in length. Lineage: Eukaryota; Metazoa; Chordata; Mammalia; Rodentia; Caviidae. The record is from Rfam by way of RNAcentral.